Molecule: long non-coding RNA, 2180 nt
Organism: Canis lupus familiaris (dog)
Lineage: Eukaryota; Metazoa; Chordata; Mammalia; Carnivora; Canidae
Exons: 3
Source: RefSeq, a predicted model, not a curated record
AGAAAAAGAUCGCUUUUGAUUUCCUAACUGUGGUGCGCUUCAGACCCACGGCUCCCACACCCUUUGGCUCCAGCCUGAUGUCCACAGCACCGUGGGGAAACUGAGGCAGGAGGGGCCCAGCAGGUAUCAAAUGCAAUGCCUGAAGUUUCCAGGUGUGAGGUUUUCUCUCAGCUGGAGUAGGGUAGAGAGGACACAGAAUGUGACAAGGAGGACCCUGUGCCCCUGGCAGCCCGGGCCGGACCCCAGGAGAGAGAGAAGAAAGAAACUCCGUAGCUCAGAAGUGAUGCUGACUGAAGCUGUUCCUCCGCUAUCCCCUAUGCUUCUGGAUCCUAGGACCCAGGCUCCCCAGCAUGUGCUCUCACUGCCCCCAGAGUAGAGAGUGACAUAGUCUCAGAAAGCACUAGGCCCUCAGCUAGCACCCCGGGGUUCUUAGGCUUUCAGCUGUCUGAAAGAGAACCAGAAGGGAGCUGAGAGUGGCUGGUGAAUUUGCAAAGGGGUCAGCCCUAUAGCCAAGAACUGCAGAUUAGCCAACUAUACCAGGGGUUAUUGGGCUGGUAGCUAGGCCACCAGGUAGCAGCUCCGGGGGGCAGGUGGGGGUAUGAUGGGAAUGAGUGGAGGAUGAGCAGCAAGGCCCAGAGCAAUCCUUCUGCAAGGCUUAGGUGCAGUGCACAGAAUUUGGGACCCUCCCUCCCCCGCCACAGAACUGGAGGGCAUGUUGCAUACAAGAUGGCUCAUCCCCUGUACCCUGGAGACCACUGUGCCUUGAAGGCGCAGCCACCUCCCCUGCAGCCUAGCAAAGAGGGAGAGGGAGGAGGAGUGGCCUCUUGAGAACAGAGACAGCCCUGCAGUGCCUCUGACCUUUGAAAAGUCAGGUACUUAGCUGAAGGGUGAAAUGCGCUUGAACUAGGAAGUUAACUCUCACUUGCUCAGCAAGAUGCUGAGGUCAGGUGGGGUGUUGUGUCUGUGUGUGUACGCGCAUGUGUGCAUCCAGUUGAGCCUUGUGUACAUUUGGAGCCCCUGGCCCAGCUUGUGGUGGCCAAGAGCAGCUCUUCAGGACUGAGUCUCUCCAGUAGGCAGUGUGUCAAUAGCAGUGGGCCCCAGUUCCCCCCAAAGCUAUCUCUGAGGGGCAGGUUUGCAGAGCAAAUGAAGAAUGUAAACAGGAUUGCAGGAGGAUUAAGGGCUUUUGGCAAACAAAGUUCCCCAGCCCCCGAGGGGCUCCCCUGGAAGCACCUAUUGACAGGCAAACAAAGGAUGCACUAAUUUAUCCUUUCACCAGGGCCGCACCCCUGGGGACCCUGCCCCUCCCCAGUGUCCUCACCGGAUCACUAGUUAACCUUGAUAAUGUUAGGCACCUAGUUCUGUCCUUUGUGUCCCCACCCCAACAUCCUCCCCCACCCCCCAUGGUUACAGUGAAUUAAUGAGAUGUCCAUGUGACCCGCCCGCCUCUGUUUAAUAUGCGACAGAGGUCAGAGUCACUGAAGCCCGCGUUGUCCGGGCUUGUCCAGAGGGGGAAGAAAUGGCUGAUCCGGGGUUUUAUGUUUCUAUUAAUACCUGAGCACAAACGCAUUGUGACUCAGCCUCCUCCUGCCUCAGGGGCCGCCUCCCUCCCUCCCCCAGCGCAGGACCUGACCCCAAGGGUCCGAGGGGGAGGGGGAAGCAGAGGGGGUACUGGAGGGUCCAAGCAGGUCUCAGGUCCAGCGACCCACUGAGGCAGGACUCAGGAGCGGGUCCCCAAACCAGCGCUUAGAAGCAUUCUUUGAUGAGGAACAGAGGGCUAGCUGAAGACUAGCCCUUUGUUCUCCAUCAUUCCCGAUGACAUUUCGGUAGGAUGAUGGAUUUAGGAACCAUUGGCCCAGUUCCUAUGGGACAUCCAGAUUCAGUGCAUGAAUGUUGACUGACUAUAUACUAGAAGGAAUGAAUGACCCAGCUGGCCCAUCUUGCUCAGUAGUGUCCAACUCCACCACUAAACAGCGGGGUGACUUUGGACCAGACCCCAUACCUUCCCCUCACAUAUGGAAUGGCCUUUGGGGAAGACUUAAUGAGAUACUCCGCUUAAAAAACUUGCAGAGUGCCUGACACAAGACCACAGAGUAGAGUAAGGGAGGAGAGACAUAUAAACCUCUUUAUUGAGGGGUGAUUCACAUCUGAUAAAAUUCACCUGUUUGAAAUGUACAAUUCAA